This 654-nucleotide long non-coding RNA is filed under the name Equus caballus (horse). RNAcentral's name for it is "lncRNA (ENSECAG00000058937.1)". Lineage: Eukaryota; Metazoa; Chordata; Mammalia; Perissodactyla; Equidae. The record is from RNAcentral.
GAGGGAUGUUACAUGAGAUUCCAUAAUAAUAAAUUAGAUGCAAUUUGAGCCUUCAGAGAGCAGUAUUGGCUAAGGUACUGCAAGCAUACCCAUACUCAAAAUGUGUAUCAUACCCGGAAAGACAAAGUGUGCCUUCUUAGAGUGAAAUUGAGAAAAUCAAAUGAAGAAUUCGCCUGCCUCUAAUUGGGCCGAUCUUUAAUAAGGGGAAGCGGGGCAACAUUGAUACCUUUGAAGCAGUCAGCAGAUUCUCACCAUCAUGUGAUCAAGGCCACACUAAUGUGCUGGAGGAUGAGAGACCACAAGAAAGAGAUCCAAGCUGUCUCAUCUGUCCCAGCCAAGGCCUUCCUAGACUUGCUGGUCCCCAGUCAAACUGCCUGCUGAUGACGGAUAAAUGAAAUGAGUAAGCUCAGCUGAGAUCAGUCAAGUCUGGCUCAGACAAGAAAAAAUGCCCAUUUGGUUCACAGACUGAUGAAUUAAAUAAAUAUGUAUUGUUGUAUGCUACUGAGGUUUUAUGAUUUUUUUGCUAUGCAGCAUUAUGAUGGCAAUAGAUAACCGCUACACCUCCUGACUAAAUUUAUUCACACAGAGUAGAUCUUAAUAUAUGACAGAUCAAGUAGUAAGUAAAUAAUUGAAUAAAUGAAUGAAUAAGUGAAA